Neotoma lepida (desert woodrat) is the source of this 58-nucleotide transfer RNA. It matches the Rfam family "tRNA", at positions 8 to 63 of the family's 71-position model. From Rfam's summary of the family: Transfer RNA (tRNA) molecules are approximately 80 nucleotides in length. Their secondary structure includes four short double-helical elements and three loops (D, anti-codon, and T loops). The record is from Rfam. NCBI's taxonomy places the organism in Eukaryota, Metazoa, Chordata, Mammalia, Rodentia, Cricetidae.
UGGCUCAGUAGUUAAGAGCACUGGCUGCUCUUCCAGAGGACCUGGGUUCGAUUCCCAG